CCUACGGGAGGCAGCAGUGGGGAAUAUUGGACAAUGGGCGCAAGCCUGAUCCAGCAAUGCCGCGUGAGUGAUGAAGGCCUUAGGGUCGUAAAGCUCUUUUACCAGGGAUGAUAAUGACAGUACCUGGAGAAUAAGCUCCGGCUAACUCCGUGCCAGCAGCCGCGGUAAUACGGAGGGAGCUAGCGUUGUUCGGAAUUACUGGGCGUAAAGCGUACGUAGGCGGUUAUUCAAGUCAGAGGUGAAAGCCCGGGGCUCAACCCCGGAACGGCCUUUGAAACUAGGUAGCUAGAAUCUUGGAGAGGUCAGUGGAAUUCCGAGUGUAGAGGUGAAAUUCGUAGAUAUUCGGAAGAACACCAGUGGCGAAGGCGACUGACUGGACAAGUAUUGACGCUGAGGUACGAAAGCGUGGGGAGCAAACAGGAUUAGAUACCCUGGUAGUCCACGCCGUAAACGAUGAUAACUAGCUGUUCGGGCACUUGGUGCUUGAGUGGCGCAGCUAACGCAUUAAGUUAUCCGCCUGGGGAGUACGGUCGCAAGNUUAAAACUCAAAGAUAUGCGUGNGAGNGCGACGACGACGACGACGGAGGAG
RNAcentral lists this ribosomal RNA (589 nucleotides) under uncultured bacterium. RNAcentral describes it as "bacterial SSU rRNA". It matches the Rfam family "Bacterial small subunit ribosomal RNA", at positions 338 to 943 of the family's 1533-position model. The record is from RNAcentral.